Zalophus californianus (California sea lion) is the source of this 297-nucleotide long non-coding RNA. RefSeq lists it as uncharacterized. The transcript has 3 exons. Lineage: Eukaryota; Metazoa; Chordata; Mammalia; Carnivora; Otariidae. The record is from RefSeq and is a predicted model, not a curated record.
ACUCUCAGGAAGAGAUUUGAUUUCAUCAGAAAGUACGGGCACCUGAUACUCCCCUGCUACAUCACCAGGAGUUCAUCAUCCUGAGUCAGAGGGUGAGAAGACAGAGUCAGAGAGGUCAAGCACCUCAGCUAGAGCUCUUCAGGGAUACACUGAAGCUUUGAAUCUGAGUGUCUGGUUCCUGAUUGAAGCCUACCUUCGCUACAGAGAUGGACCUUGGGUUCAUUCUUCAGGCUGUAUUGUUCCGAGUUGAACAUUGGUAACUGAUGGAUGCUUCCCAUCCCUCCGGUUCACAUUACC